UACGAAGGGUGCAAGCGUUACUCGGAAUUACUGGGCGUAAAGCGCACGUAGGCGGCUUUGCAAGUUAGAGGUGAAAGCCCGGGGCUCAACUCCGGAAUUGCCUUUAAAACUGCAUCGCUAGAAUUGUGGAGAGGUAAGUGGAAUUCCGAGUGUAGAGGUGAAAUUCGUAGAUAUUCGGAAGAACACCAGUGGCGAAGGCGACUUACUGGACACAUAUUGACGCUGAGGUGCGAAAGCGUGGGGAGCAAACAGG
This 253-nucleotide ribosomal RNA is filed under the name uncultured bacterium. RNAcentral describes it as "partial 16S ribosomal RNA". It matches the Rfam family "Bacterial small subunit ribosomal RNA", at positions 524 to 776 of the family's 1533-position model. The record is from RNAcentral.